CCUGGCGGCACUAGCGCGGUGGUCCCACCUGACCCCAUGUCGAACUCAGAAGUGAAACGCCGUAGCGCCGAUGGUAGUGUGGG
This 83-nucleotide ribosomal RNA is filed under the name Salmonella enterica subsp. enterica serovar Derby. The record is from RNAcentral. Lineage: Bacteria; Pseudomonadati; Pseudomonadota; Gammaproteobacteria; Enterobacterales; Enterobacteriaceae.